UCCCUGAUGUUAGCGGCGGACGGGUGAGUAACACGUGGGUAACCUGCCUGUAAGACUGGGAUAACUCCGGGAAACCGGGGCUAAUACCGGACGGUUGUCUGAACCGCAUGGUUCAGACAUAAAAGGUGGCUUCGGCUACCACUUACAGAUGGACCCGCGGCGCAUUAGCUAGUUGGUGAGGUAACGGCUCACCAAGGCGACGAUGCGUAGCCGACCUGAGAGGGUGAUCGGCCACACUGGGACUGAGACACGGCCAGACUCCUACGGGAGGCAGCAGUAGGGAAUCUUCCGCAAUGGACGAAAGUCUGACGGAGCAACGCCGCGUGAGUGAUGAAGGUUUUCGGAUCGUAAAGCUCUGUUGUUAGGGAAGAACAAGUGCCGUUCAAAUAGGACGGCACCUUGACGGUACCUAACCAGAAAGCCACGGCUAACUACGUGCCAGCAGCCGCGGUAAUACGUAGGUGGCAAGCGUUGUCCGGAAUUAUUGGGCGUAAAGGGCUCGCAGGCGGUUUCUUAAGUCUGAUGUGAAAGCCCCCGGCUCAACCGGGGAGGGUCAUUGGAAACUGGGGAACUUGAGUGCAGAAGUGGAGAGUGGAAUUC
This 600-nucleotide ribosomal RNA is filed under the name uncultured bacterium. RNAcentral's name for it is "bacterial SSU rRNA". It matches the Rfam family "Bacterial small subunit ribosomal RNA", at positions 83 to 669 of the family's 1533-position model. The record is from RNAcentral.